AGAGUUUGAUCAUGGCUCAGGAUGAACGCUGGCGGCGUGCCUAAUACAUGCAAGUCGAACGAGGGUCCGAUUCGUAAGAAUAGGAAUUCCGAGUGGCGAACGGGUGAGUAACACGUAGACGACCUGCCCUCAAGAGGGGGAUAACGUUCCGAAAGGGAUGCUAAUACCCCAUAAGCUCACGGGAGCUAGACAACCGGGAGAAACGGGAGAAAUCCGCUUGAGGAGGGGUCUGCGGCCCAUCAGGUAGUUGGUGAGGUAACGGCUCACCAAGCCGAAGACGGGUAGGGGGCCUGAGAGGGUGGUCCCCCACACGGGCACUGAGAGACGGGCCCGACUCCUACGGGAGGCAGCAGUAAGGGAUAUUGCGCAAUGGGCGAAAGCCAGACGCAGCAACGCCGCGUGCCCGAUGAAGGCCUUCGGGUCGUAAAGGGCUUUUCUGGCUGAAGAGCAAGGACGGUAAGCCAGGAAAAAGUGUCGGCUAACUACGUGCCAGCAGCCGCGGUAAAACGUAGGACGCGAGCGUUAUCCGGAGUUACUGGGCGUAAAGGGUGGGCAGGCGGCCGUGUCAGAUGGGUGUGAAAUCUCCCGGCUCAACCGGGAGGGGCCACUCGUGACUGCACGGCUGGAGGGCAGCAGAGGCGCGUGGAAUUCCGGGUGGAGUGGUGAAAUGCGUAGAGAUCCGGAGGAACACCAGAGGCGAAAGCGGCGCGCUGGGCUGCAACUGACGCUGAACCACGAAAGCCAGGGUAGCGAACGGGAUUAGAAACCCCGGUAGUCCUGGCCGUAAACGAUGUCAACUGGGCCUUGGUAUGGAAGCAUAUCAGGCCCGGAGCGAACGCGCUAAGUUGACCGCCUGGGGGAGUACGACCGCAAGGUUAAAACUCAAAUGAAUUGACGG
RNAcentral lists this ribosomal RNA (898 nucleotides) under uncultured bacterium. RNAcentral describes it as "bacterial SSU rRNA". It matches the Rfam family "Bacterial small subunit ribosomal RNA", at positions 8 to 916 of the family's 1533-position model. The record is from RNAcentral.